This is a non-coding RNA of Peromyscus maniculatus bairdii (prairie deer mouse), 288 nucleotides long. The record is from RefSeq and is a predicted model, not a curated record. Lineage: Eukaryota; Metazoa; Chordata; Mammalia; Rodentia; Cricetidae.
UCAAAGUGCAAUGAAACCUGUUAACAGCUUAAGAGACAGGGGGAAACUAAGACACCUCCCCUCAAGCCCAAGAACAAGCACAAGGAGUGCUCUUUCUAGACACUGUAGUGAGAAAGGUGCGUCCAUCUUCCUGUUUGACUUUCUUGGUGGCACUGGGCUCGACCUCCAGGGUGAUGGUCUUGCCUGUCAGGGUCUUCACAAAGAUCUGCAUACCACCCCUGAGACGGAGGACCAGGUGCAGAGUGGAUCUCUCUGGGUGUUGUAGUCCAAGAGGGUGGAGCCCAGCAG